GGUUCGGUGGUGUAGUGGUUAUCAUGUCUGCUUUACACGCAGAAGGUCUCAGGUUCGAACCCGGGCCGAACCA
RNAcentral lists this transfer RNA (73 nucleotides) under Schistosoma haematobium. It matches the Rfam family "tRNA". From Rfam's summary of the family: Transfer RNA (tRNA) molecules are approximately 80 nucleotides in length. RNAcentral also lists the same sequence under 1 other name. Lineage: Eukaryota; Metazoa; Platyhelminthes; Trematoda; Strigeidida; Schistosomatidae. The record is from Rfam by way of RNAcentral.